AACCCUAAUUCUCUCUUCAAAACCCUAAUGUCUUAUGUCAUGUGUAAUAUCAUAUGGUUACAAUCAUUUAGUCUGCAUCAAUUUUAUUGGACCUCUACAAGCACCAAUUGGAGAGUCCAAGUUUCUUUCUCUUUCUUCUUACUCUAUUGUCUCACCAUCCUCACACUUUCAUCUCUCUUUUCUCAAUCUCUCUUUCUCUCUGACCUCCCCAUCUCAUCCUUAUGCUCUCAUCUCUCACAUCAGUAUCAUCAUCAUCUAGCAAAUCCAAACCAAGAUCAACUCAAAGUUCACAUGCAAUUGUAGAUUUGUAAUCCUUGAGUCUUGGGCUUUCAAGGAAGGAUCAAGGAGCCAUGGUUAAGGGAUUUGGAGCAAUUUAGAAGAAAAUUGGUAAAACUCGUGUUCCUAGACAGGGCUUCACUAAAACGUUUCACUAUUUUUGGAUCAAUAUUGAUGUCUGAACAUGCUUCUGAAGUUGAGGGCUGAAGCUGUCAAAAUGGUGUUUUGAGGGCUGCGGGUUUGGAUACACAAACGGCGCAAAUGGAUGAUUGACUUAUGUGCAUGCGU
This is a long non-coding RNA of Trifolium pratense (red clover), 564 nucleotides long. RefSeq lists it as uncharacterized. NCBI's taxonomy places the organism in Eukaryota, Viridiplantae, Streptophyta, Magnoliopsida, Fabales, Fabaceae. The record is from RefSeq and is a predicted model, not a curated record. The transcript is spliced from 3 exons.